This 94-nucleotide non-coding RNA is filed under the name uncultured Fusobacterium sp. Its description in RNAcentral is "Purine riboswitch". It matches the Rfam family "Purine riboswitch aptamer". From Rfam's summary of the family: Riboswitches are metabolite binding domains within certain messenger RNAs that serve as precision sensors for their corresponding targets. Allosteric rearrangement of mRNA structure is mediated by ligand binding, and this results in modulation of gene expression. A class of riboswitches that selectively recognises guanine and becomes saturated at concentrations as low as 5 nM. The record is from RNAcentral. Lineage: Bacteria; Fusobacteriati; Fusobacteriota; Fusobacteriia; Fusobacteriales; Fusobacteriaceae.
CAAAUAAUCAAAAAAGCUCGUAUAAUUUUGAUAAUUAGGUUCAAAAGUUUCUACAGAUUUACCAUAAAUAAAUCUACUACGAGCUGACUUAAUU